AAGUCGUAACAAGGUUUCCGUAGGUGAACCUGCGGAAGGAUCAUUAAAAAAAUAAGGUAUUUUAUACCUCUUGCAUUUAAAACCCGACUCAAAAAUAUAAUUUUUUUUAAAAAAAAAAACUUUCAACAAUGGAUCUCUUGGCUCUC
Molecule: unclassified non-coding RNA, 146 nt
Filed under: fungal sp.
Lineage: Eukaryota; Fungi
Description: partial internal transcribed spacer region
Rfam family: Eukaryotic small subunit ribosomal RNA (bases 1-46)
Source: RNAcentral